UACGUAGGGUCCGAGCGUUGUCCGGAAUUACUGGGCGUAAAGAGCUCGUAGGUGGUUUGUCGCGUUGUUCGUGAAAACUCACAGCUUAACUGUGGGCGUGCGGGCGAUACGGGCAGACUGGAGUACUGCAGGGGAGACUGGAAUUCCUGGUGUAGCGGUGGAAUGCGCAGAUAUCAGGAGGAACACCGGUGGCGAAGGCGGGUCUCUGGGCAGUAACUGACGCUGAGGAGCGAAAGCAUGGGGAGCAAACAGG
This 253-nucleotide ribosomal RNA is filed under the name uncultured bacterium. RNAcentral's name for it is "partial 16S ribosomal RNA". It matches the Rfam family "Bacterial small subunit ribosomal RNA", at positions 524 to 776 of the family's 1533-position model. The record is from RNAcentral.